This 408-nucleotide ribosomal RNA is filed under the name uncultured bacterium. Its description in RNAcentral is "partial 16S ribosomal RNA". It matches the Rfam family "Bacterial small subunit ribosomal RNA", at positions 28 to 526 of the family's 1533-position model. The record is from RNAcentral.
GACGAACGCUGGCGGCGUGCUUAACACAUGCAAGUCGAACGAAGUGGCGAACGGGUGAGUAACGCGUAAUCAACCUGCCCUUCAGAGGGGGACAACAGUUGGAAACGACUGCUAAUACCGCAUACUGAAGGAGGGGAUUGCGUCUGAUUUGCUAGUUGGAGGGGUAAUGGCCCACCAAGGCGAUGAUCAGUAGGCGGUCUUGCAGAAUGAACGGCCACAUUUUGACUUGGAAACGGCCCAGACUCCUACGGGAGGGAGCAGUGGGGAAUCUUCCGCAAUGGACGAAAGUCUGACGGAGCAACGCCGCGGGAGUGAGGACGGCCUUCGGGUUGUAAAGCUCUGUUAAUCGGGACGCGGUACCGGAAUAGAAAGCAACGGCUAACUACGUGCCAGCCGCCGCGGUAAUUC